GUGGGGAAUUUUGGACAAUGGGGGCAACCCUGAUCCAGCCAUUCCGCGUGAGUGAAGAAGGCCUUCGGGUUGUAAAGCUCUUUCGGCAGGAACGAAACGGUGAGCUCUAACAUAGCUCGCUAAUGACGGUACCUGAAGAAGAAGCACCGGCUAACUACGUGCCAGCAGCCGCGGUAAUACGUAGGGUGCGAGCGUUAAUCGGAAUUACUGGGCGUAAAGCGUGCGCAGGCGGUUGUGUAAGACAGGUGUGAAAUCCCCGGGCUUAACCUGGGAACUGCGCUUGUGACUUCACGGCUAGAGUAUGGCAGAGGGGGGUGGAAUUCCACGUGUAGCAGUGAAAUGCGUAGAGAUGUGGAGGAACACCGAUGGCGAAGGCAGCCCCCUGGGCCAAUACUGACGCUCAUGCACGAAAGCGUGGGGAGCAAACAGGAUUAGAAACCCCGGUAGUCC
This 450-nucleotide ribosomal RNA is filed under the name uncultured bacterium. RNAcentral's name for it is "partial 16S ribosomal RNA". It matches the Rfam family "Bacterial small subunit ribosomal RNA", at positions 354 to 796 of the family's 1533-position model. The record is from RNAcentral.